CCCUUAGAUGUUCUGGGCCGCACGCGCGCUACACUGAUACGUUCAGCGAGUAUAUAACCUUGAUUGGAAAAUCUGGGUAAUCUUUUGAAUGCGUAUCGUGCUAGGGAUAGAUUAUUGCAAUUAUUAAUCUUGAACGAGGAAUUCCUAGUAAACGCAAGCCAUCAGCUUGCAUUGAUUACGUCCCUGCCCUUUGUACACACCGCCUGUCGCACAAACCGAUUGAAUGAUUCGGUGAAAAUUUUGGACAUCGAGAGUGGUGAUUAAUUUCGCUGCUCUUAAAUGGAAAGAAUUUAAACCUAAUUAUUUAGAGGAUUGUGAAGUCAUAACA
This 328-nucleotide ribosomal RNA is filed under the name uncultured eukaryote. Its description in RNAcentral is "partial 18S ribosomal RNA". It matches the Rfam family "Eukaryotic small subunit ribosomal RNA", at positions 1470 to 1796 of the family's 1831-position model. The record is from RNAcentral.